This 227-nucleotide ribosomal RNA is filed under the name uncultured bacterium. RNAcentral describes it as "partial 16S ribosomal RNA". It matches the Rfam family "Bacterial small subunit ribosomal RNA", at positions 568 to 795 of the family's 1533-position model. The record is from RNAcentral.
UGCGUAGGCGGCCAUAUAAGUCAGAAGUGAAAGGCUACGGCUUAACCGUAGUAAGCUUUUGAAACUGUAUGGCUUGAGUGCAGGAGAGGAAAGCGGAAUUCCUAGUGUAGCGGUGAAAUGCGUAGAUAUUAGGAAGAACACCAGUAGCGAAGGCGGCUUUCUGGACUGAAACUGACGCUGAGGUACGAAAGCGUGGGGAGCGAACAGGAUUAGAUACCCUGGUAGUC